This 520-nucleotide ribosomal RNA is filed under the name uncultured Glomus. RNAcentral's name for it is "SSU rRNA". It matches the Rfam family "Eukaryotic small subunit ribosomal RNA", at positions 569 to 1091 of the family's 1831-position model. The record is from RNAcentral. Lineage: Eukaryota; Fungi; Glomeromycota; Glomeromycetes; Glomerales; Glomeraceae.
AGCAGCCGCGGUAAUUCCAGCUCCAAUAGCGUAUAUUAAAGUUGUUGCAGUUAAAAAGCUCGUAGUUGAAUUUCGGGAUCAAUUGAUUGGUCAUGCCUUGGUAUGUACUGGUCAUAUUGGUUCUCACCUUCUAAUGAACCACAAUGUCAUUUACUUGAUGUUAUGGGGAAUUAGGACUGUUACCUUGAAAAAAUUAGAGUGUUUAAAGCAGGCUUACGCUUGAAUACAUUAGCAUGGAAUAAUGAAAUAGGACAUCGCAUUCUAUUUUGUUGGUUUCUAGGAUCGAUGUAAUGAUUAAUAGGGAUAGUUGGGGGCAUUAGUAUUCAAUUGUCAGAGGUGAAAUUCUUGGAUUUAUUGAAGACUAACUACUGCGAAAGCAUUUGCCAAGGAUGUUUUCAUUAAUCAAGAACGAAAGUUAGGGGAUCGAAGACGAUCAGAUACCGUCGUAGUCUUAACCAUAAACUAUGCCGACUAGGGAUCGGAUGAUGUUGAUUUUUAAAUGACUCAUUCGGCACCUUAC